GUCAGGGAAACAAGAGGUGGUGAAGCAAUGAUUGACAAUAUGAGUCAAGGAUUACCCAAGCGCUCUCCCGAACACGGCAGGCAAAUGCGCCCAACACUGCUACUGACUAGUUUGCAAGAUUUUAGUAGCUAAGCAGAAAUGACACACGAUAGAAAAAUGCUCGAUCGAGAAGCCGUACGCUCUGUCAUCCAGCAAUGGAAUGCGAACCGCUUGGAUUUGUUCGCUUUAUCCGAGCCUGACGAGAACCUGCUAUUUCAUGGCGUCAUGCGGUUUUAUUUCCAAGAUGCUGGACAAAAAGUCGCUACCAAAUGCAUUCGUGUGGCCUCUGACGCCACUGUCUCAGAUGUUAUUGAUACCCUAAUCGAAAAAUUUCGUCCCGACAUGCGUAUGCUGUCAGUGCCAAACUACGCCCUCUAUGAGGUACAUGCGAAUGGCGAAGAGCGCCGCUUGAACCCUGACGAAAAGCCUUUAUUGGUGCAGUUAAAUUGGCAUAUCGAUGAUCGUGAAGGUCGUUUCUUGCUCAAGAAUAUUGACCAAAAAACUACGCCAAUCGAACAGUCAGAUAUGAAUUUCAAACGAAAACUUUCUAAGAGGGAAAAGAAAGAACAAAAAAAGAAAGAAAAACUCGCAAAAUUAAAUUCUGAAUCGACAUCUGGCGGCUUUAACGGAGGAAUUGCUAACGAUUGUAGAGAGGGUGAAACUCAAGUGGCUGGAAAACUUUACACCGAACUGCCAGAGACGUCAUUUACUCGUUCGAUUUCCAAUCCAGAAGCUGUUAUGCGUCGGCGACGACAACAAAAGCUUGAGAAGAAGUUGCAGCAAUUCCGAUCACGUGAUGGCGGGCCUGACACCGGUGGGACGCUAAAGAUUUACGGCGAGAGCCUAUGUCAAGAUGUUCCGUACAAAACGUUAUUACUUUCUAUACGCGACUGUGCUCAGGCCGUCGUUCGGGAAAUGUUGUCAAAAUAUGGUCUGGACAAAGCUGAUCCUUUACACUAUUGUUUGGUGCAGGUGAAUAGCGAUGGAACGCAAUACAUUCUCGACGAUGAUGAAUGUCCGCUCUCCAUACUGAUGAACCACCCAACAUCACGAGCCUUUAGUGCACUCUCUUCUACCUGUGUUGGAUCUCAACUAGUGGAGUUCUAUACGAGAGAGCUGGCCUGUAUCUCUGAUCAAUACAAAAUUAUGUCGGUCCCGGGACAUAGGGACAUUUCAGGAAACGAGGCAGUGGACCAACUAAUAAGGUGCGAAAGUUAUCACCCCAAGGCCAAGUAGAGGUCGAACCGUACAAAAUCGUAGAGGUUUACCAGGGUGUCCUGCGACCCACUUAAAACCAAAGCUCUUUUGGAAGCAAGGAAGAUAUCUACAAACUUACUGCAGUUCUGUCGCAGUUGCGAUGACCCUGGCUCAAAAGCGACAGUCCGAACACUUUCUGUGCGAGUGUGAGGCCCUUAAACACACUCGGCAAGCCAUUCCUGCAGAAUGUUUCAGAGUGCAGCUUCCUAUCUUUGUAUGACGUAUUGGAAUUCAUUACAGCCGCCAAAUGGAAGUAGGUUGCACGAGUUAUGGAAUCAAAAAGGCAAACUUUCUAAUUGCUCCUCACCAGGGUGACAAUCCACUUAAAACAUGCAACCAUUCAUCUGAACCACUAUUAAACUGUCAAUAUUUCUAUGUACACAAGAUCGUAACUGUUUGCUUAAUUAUAAACUAAUUUUAUACAUAAAUACUUAUUUAGGGGAUUCACAAUCGUUAAUCGUCGAUAAACCUUAAGCUUAUCAUUUUUUUAUGUAAAAUAACGGUUAAAAUGGUUUUAGGGGGCGCUAUUAUAUACUUUUUAUCAGUUUAAAAACAUUUCGGUGUAGUUAGAAGUCCUCUAUAACCAUUUCAAUCAUUAUUUUACAUGAACAUGUUAUUUUUGUACCGGCAAUAAAUUUAUUGGAAACAUA
RNAcentral lists this unclassified non-coding RNA (1946 nucleotides) under Rhagoletis pomonella (apple maggot). RNAcentral describes it as "afadin-like, transcript variant X2". Lineage: Eukaryota; Metazoa; Arthropoda; Insecta; Diptera; Tephritidae. The record is from RNAcentral.